Molecule: microRNA precursor, 62 nt
Filed under: Monodelphis domestica (gray short-tailed opossum)
Lineage: Eukaryota; Metazoa; Chordata; Mammalia; Didelphimorphia; Didelphidae
Description: microRNA mdo-mir-12345 precursor
Source: miRBase by way of RNAcentral
CUGCCUUAUCCAGAGACCAGCUGACCAGGACAUGUCCUUGGUUCUGUGAGAGGGGCAAUGGG